Molecule: long non-coding RNA, 704 nt
Organism: Oncorhynchus tshawytscha (Chinook salmon)
Lineage: Eukaryota; Metazoa; Chordata; Actinopteri; Salmoniformes; Salmonidae
Exons: 3
Source: RefSeq, a predicted model, not a curated record
AGAGCCAGUGGUCGAGAACGUAAAAUGUGGUCGAGCGAGCAGAGGACGGUUUCCUUCGAGCGCACAGGCAGCGGGAGCGCGCACAUUGAACACGUUGCAGUGGAAACCGGAUUUUGACGGUGAAAGGCAAGGGGAUGGUGAAGUAGGAACGAUGUUUGACAAUAAGAAGGGCUGUGUGUGCAGAGAACACGUAUGUCUGACAAGGUGGAGUCAGGCUUUUACUUCAUCACCCUGGACCACUACACCUAUGAGGCAGAGGAUGCCAAGUUUGGACCUGUGAGCCACCUUUGACCUUGACAUAACUUUCUUCUAAGGCUUUUGGGGUCAUGGGUGUUCCCUAACUCAUCUUGUGCCUUACACAUCUCCGCACAUAUGCAGCCCCCAUCUGCCCCAAUGGCUUGUACCUGUUGUGUUGGCGUAGUUACCAAACCAGUGGGAGGAUGUGUUGACAGUGAUUUGUUCCAGUGUGAUCCUCAAGCUUUCGCUGUGCCAACACCAUGCCUGGCGACAACCAGAUGAUAUUCCUCCACCCUGGAUCACAGUGGACACACUCCUAAUCUCUCUGUGUAUGUUUGUUGCACAUGAGAGCGUGCGUAAUGGGUCUAUAUAUGCAAAUUUGUGUGUAGUGGAGGAUAUAUACGUUUAUGUAUAUGAGUCUAUUCAGUAUGUAUACCUCCUGAAUUAAAGGCCUCACUUUGCUUGUG